UUUAGGUGGGUCGGAGUUUAUGGACAACUUUUCCAAGUUGUGACCGGUAAGCCCAUCUUUUUGAGGUAACAACGAGUAGUAUCUGUUAUAGUAAACCAGUCUACAGGCGCGCCUGAGGCGCGCCAGACAUCAGCGGUUCCAGUUCCUGAAAUGCUGGAGAUGCUCAGAGCGCAAGGGGAGCAGGGAGCAUGAUGCAUCUCUUUGGGAUGUUAGCCAUGCAACCUUAGCUCGGCACAAUUGUGAAUGGAAGCGUUAAGCCUGGACUGGGAGUGGAGACAAGGUGAAGAGGAGCCUCGUGCCUGAAGCAACAUUCCGGCUCGCCUUUGUGUUCCUGGUUGAGGAUGGAACCUGCCUCCCAGCAUUCCCAAGCUAAGUUGGGGGGCAAGUGCUGUGUUUGAGCUGGGGCUGUGAAUGGACACACAGGGCGAGGGUCUGUGCUUUUAAGUCAUUGCAGCUGAUGGGGCCUUUCAGAAUUGAUCAUGGUCAGGCAGUGAGAUUAUAUGUGGGGGGUCCUGUCAGGUAUGGCGUGAGCACGUGCCAGACAGGACAGUCCCAGCUAAUUGUCUGUGUUCUGUGUGUUCUGUGUUGUCUGUGCUGUGCUGUUGCUCUU
This is a long non-coding RNA of Oxyura jamaicensis (ruddy duck), 610 nucleotides long. RefSeq lists it as uncharacterized. The record is from RefSeq and is a predicted model, not a curated record. NCBI's taxonomy places the organism in Eukaryota, Metazoa, Chordata, Aves, Anseriformes, Anatidae. The transcript has 3 exons.